GUGCUCGUCGCCAAAUGGAUAAGGCCUCAGAUUUCUACUCUGACAUUUUGGGGGUUCGAGUCCCUCCGGGCACG
Molecule: transfer RNA, 74 nt
Filed under: bacterium
Lineage: Bacteria
Description: tRNA-Arg
Rfam family: tRNA
About the family: Transfer RNA (tRNA) molecules are approximately 80 nucleotides in length. Their secondary structure includes four short double-helical elements and three loops (D, anti-codon, and T loops). Further hydrogen bonds mediate the characteristic L-shaped molecular structure. tRNAs have two regions of fundamental functional importance: the anti-codon, which is responsible for specific mRNA codon recognition, and the 3' end, to which the tRNAs corresponding amino acid is attached (by aminoacyl-tRNA synthetases). tRNAs cope with the degeneracy of the genetic code in two manners: having more than one tRNA (with a specific anti-codon) for a particular amino acid; and 'wobble' base-pairing, i.e. permitting non-standard base-pairing at the 3rd anti-codon position.
Source: RNAcentral